UGCUCAGCUCUGUGACCUUGGCCACUCCCUUCCUCUCCCUGCCUCUUCACUUCCCCAUCUGUCAGUCAUGAGACAUAAUAGUUGCUGCUUCCCAGGCAGGUGGCGGAGGAUUGUUGGAAAUAACGUCAGGAGAGGACCUGGGGUAUCUCAGUUGCCUGCCCCUCCUGUGUAGUUCGUGAACAGUUACUCAGCACAGUGGCAUGUCAGCCAACAGUAUCUUUGUCCUGUGCACCUCCUCACAGAUGAGAACAUGAAGGCACUGCAAGGUGCAGCAGCUUGAUCAAGGUGUGUGCUUUGCAGACGACAACCUGCCCGCUUCAGUUUCCAUCCACACAGAAAAUGAGAGCCGGUGACUCCUGCUUGCCUGGGUCCCUGGGAGCAUCAGACGCAGCUGUGCAGCGUGCUUCCCUUCAGCUAAGGGCCAGGGUGACUUCACUCCCUGGCACCUGCAGGUGCUGAAACUCCAAAGUCCUAAGUUAAUGGCAGUGAGCACUUGGUUCAGUUAUGGAAUCUAGAAGGUGGGCCUGGUGGAAGGUCCUUAGGUCACUGGGCUCAUGCCCUUGGUGGGUAGUUCUCAGGUCAGAGUGUUUGGUUACAGACACUAAGUUGGCUCCAGCUAGUCUCUCUGCUUCCUAACGUGCAGUGUGCACUCACCCUCCAGCCUCACCACACAGCCAAGCCAGUGGCACUGUCUUGAUAUUAGACUGUGAAGCUCCCACCCUGUGAGCUGAAACAAACCUCCUUCCUCUAUAAGUAACCUAUGUCGAGUAUUUAGUAACAG
Long non-coding RNA from Ochotona princeps (American pika), 781 nucleotides. RefSeq lists it as uncharacterized. The record is from RefSeq and is a predicted model, not a curated record. Lineage: Eukaryota; Metazoa; Chordata; Mammalia; Lagomorpha; Ochotonidae. The transcript is spliced from 3 exons.